AUUCCCAGUUUUAUUUCAGCUUCACUGAAGUAAAGACCAUUCCUGCACUCUAGUGCUGGAUCUUUUUUUCUAUGUAGAACAGUGGAGAGCUUUAAUUAACAGUUUAUUUAUCUUAGGAUGAUUUGUUUAAAUGAUGCUAUUUUGAACUAGAUUUUAUUAAAUGACAGACUACUUGCUCCUUCUCUUUGGCAAUGUGCAUUCAUGAUGGAUUUGAAUCACUUCAUCAUAUUUCCACACUUAAAUGAUGACAUGGAUCAACCUAUGACUGGAUUCUUCAGGACAGAGCAAGAGGCUUGGAGAGUCUUGGCUUCAUUUCCUUGACAUGCUUUUCCCCAUCUGGGCUGGAUAGUACAGCUCUGGCCUCAGGAUGCCUGCACACUCCUCUGCUGCCCUCCUGGAGCAUCUCAUCAGCGUUUGGUUAUAAUUCAGUGUCCAUCAAUGCUGGCACAGUCACACUUCCUAAUGCUAGCUGCCUAACAGGUUCUUCCCCCCGCUCUGCUUUCCUGAGCCUGUCUUCACGUAGUCCUGCCAGUGAUCCUGUGCUACAAAAACAGAUGGACACAAGCUGCUGCACCCAUCAGCUACACAGCUGCACUUCAUUCCACAGCAAAAAUGUAUCAACAUUAAUUCUUGACUGUGAGCUCCUGCCCAGCACCAUCAGCACCCCUACCACAGCAGGGAGCAGCCCCCCACCAUCAGCAAGUCAAUGCUUGGGGGCUCAGCACAGGCACUUGAAGCACCAUAACAUAAAUAAACUAUGGGUGAGAUGAAGGGAAAAAUAGUCAAAUAAUUUCCUGUUGUGCAAUUACAAUAAAAAUAGCUAAUCCUGAAUGAAGCUCUUGCUUCAUUCUUGUAUCCAUGGCAACAGAAAGGGAGAUUGGAAGACUGGCUGCAGAUGAACGCAGCGCUCUCCGUCCCAGCAGCCAGCUCAGCCUGCCCAGUGUUGCAGCAGGCAGGGGAGGAGGGCUGCUCUGCUGCUGGGGUGGGCUCUGCCCUGUGCUGAGAGGGACCAGUGGCAGGGAAACACAGGUCCACGCUCAGCAAUCUCUGCAUGAGUCCCUUACGCUUUCAGAGCAUCCUGCUCUGCUCCCUGGUGCACAGUGUUCCUUGGCCCAAGUAAAGGCAGAGAGCCUGAGUUCUCAGUGAGGAAUCAGCAUAAAUCAAAUGACAGGUCACCAGCUGAAGUGGUUCAAUACUUCUCCCUUGAAGCAACAGGUUUCAGUGCUUGGCUUAGGUGCUAACUCAAGUCAGCUGGGGCAGUUUGCAUUUUAGGGGCACCAUUGCCCCUAAAAAGGGGUUUGGUGUAUUGCUGAUAAUCUGUGAAUUACCUAUCAACAUGGGUAUGUUUGUGCUUCCUCUGUGAAACUUUAUACAAGUCACUGAGUGCCAGUGAGCCGCAGGUCAGUAUCCCAUGCUGGACAGUAUCCCCAUUUUGGAUAGUAUCCUCAUGUUGUCAGUAAUUCUAUUUUGGACAAUAUCUCCAUUUCAUUCCCAGUAAGUCUGUUGAAAUUAUGUUGAUGAGCCCAUUAAUAUUGUCUGGAAAACAGUAACUACCACAUGGGUUCAAAAGCAUACCUUCAAUUCCCAGUUGGAAAAUAUCCCGUAUUUCAAGUUCUCUUGCCCUAUCUAGUGUUUGUUUUACAAGUUUAAGUGCAAGAUAUCAGGACUUGGAUACAAAUUUCAAAUGUCAUGUCCAGGUGAACAGAGGCCAUAAUUAUUGUAUCCUAGUCACAUCUAUGUUUAUUUGCAUGUUCUCAACUCCUGCUUAUAAUGAAUUGCUGGUCAUGAAAUUCCUCCUCGUGAAAAGGAUAUUAAAUUUGAUUAUUGCAAUCAGUUUUCAUUUGAUAUUAAUGUUCUUAUAAGUACACUGAAUUGCACUGCAUUUUUGUUGGAAAAUCAUAUAAUACAAAAUCUUAUGUGCUUCACUGAUGAUAGCACCAGAAACACAUAAACUUCUUGCAAUUUUAUGUAUGAAGAAGCAGCUUUCCUAAUCAAAGUACUGGGAGUAAUGAAAAAGCCUUUGUAACAUAAUAUCAUAAGCAUUGUGAAAAUUGUGAACACUGAGCUGCUGGGAAAAAAACCCACUUUACUAUAUUUUUCACGUCAUGGGAAGAUGGGUGAGUAGCCUCCUUUAAAAAGGUAACCAUACACAAUACAGGAUCACCUCUUGGAGAAAAAUAGCUGUGCAAAGUAGGACAUAAUAAUCUGUGUUAUGUAAUGCUGUUAAUUUUUUCUGAUUGUGAGUUUUUGUAGUUGUUGGAGUUUUUUUCCUCAAGGACCAUAUUUGACUGAUAUGCCAUCUUCAGUGGACGGCAUUUCUAUGGGGAUUUUUAUUCAUUACAAGAAACUAAGGCAAGGAAAAAAGGUUUCAAUAACUGUUUUUACCCAGGUGAAGGCCAUACAAAAUGACAGAAGGAAUCAGGCCUUUUUUUGAUACUUUGGUUCAACUAGCUUUCUUGUAGGCAGCAGAGAACCAUUCUGUAAAGAAGAGUUAGUCUUCUGCUGCUGUCCUGAUGCAUGCAAGUGUGAAUUAAAGCUUUUUUCCUAAAUAUCCUCUAUGCACAUUAGUGAAUAACUCAUUCCACACCCAGAACAUUGUCUAGUUUGGAGGGUGACUGGCAUGGCUUGGCUUGCCCCUGUACAGUUGACUCUGCUAUUGCCAGUGUCUGCACUGUGCAGAGGGACAGAUCCUGCUCAGCCACCCUCUGACAGCAGUCCUGCCCUACAGCUGUGUCAGGGAUGGGCCAGCAAUCCCACAGAAUGGACAAACGUGCCAGCCCUGCUCGUGUCCUCAUCUUAUUUAGUUUACUGGGAGGGAAAUAACUUUUAUGGCUGAGAGGCAGCCUAGUUUCUCCCAGCAGCUGCCCACCUGAAGGUUAGCAGAAAGCUUUCGCUGUCACACCAAUGCUCAGAGUUAAUCCAUCAGGCACUAUUUGCAGUUGAUCUGAAUCACUGAUGUGACUGGAAGAAGCAGUGAUGGAAAUGAAAGGGAAAGACUGUUGGGUGAUCCCCAGUCAAAAAGAAAUUUCCUCUGCAUCCCAAGAACAUUUAAAUGAAAAAUCUCCUGUUUUCCUCAAUAUCUGUUACCUUUAUCAACAGCAGCCUGUACUCUUCUAAAGCCCUUUGCAAACCCUGUUACUGUUGUCCUUUCACCUAGAGUUUCUGCAGUCUCCACCUCUCCUUCACUGCCAAUUUCUCAAGCAUUUUUAGCCACAGGUUGUGUCCUUUGCCAGUGAUUCUUCUCUACUUCUGCCAAAACUAGCCACCUUAGUAAAUUGAACAAUGUUAGGAAGGUCACCUUGGUAGGAGGGUCACAGCUGCAGCUCUGUCCAUCAUCCCAAGCAAUUCCUAUGAAGUGUUCAUGGGUUGGCACAGAAGGAUCUUCCGGUGUUACUUUCAGGAGGUGAUUUCAGUGCAGCUCCUGUUUCAGUGCAGUGCCUAUUUUGAAGCAGAAGAGAGCAUGACAUGACUGGCAUGGCCAGCCAAGCUGUGCUGUUGCACUCCCCUGCUCCAAGACUGCCUCUCCUCCUCUCCAGGCACAGGGCUAGUCUGUGCCAGGGGGACACAGCGAGCUCGUCCUGGCACCAUUUAGUGUCUCAGAUAGAAGCUAAUAAGCAGAUAAAGCAAAUGGGAUCUCAGUGUAAUGGUAGUUGGGGUAUUUAAUUCUUGCUGCAAAACUUUAGGGCCUCAGUUAUUGCCAAUCUAUUCCCUUAAUGUGCUUAUUCAACGUUUGGACUCGGCGAUGAAAGCUCUCUAUUCCAUUACAAUGGAAGGGAAAUGUUUUCUUAUGAACACUGGAAAUGCUGUGGGUACAAGGGAGGAGCAGGCUGAAUUUGUGACCCCUGAAUUGUGAGACAGGUGGUGCUGAGGAUGACGAGCAGUUGGGGAAGAAGCAGCUUCCCCAUUUGGGCAGCAGCUGCCCUGUGCCACAGCAGGUCCCACUCGGUGUCCUGCCACGCCACAUCUGUGCUGAUGGGAACAAUUGGCACCACACCACCAGGAGCUCUCCAGUGAACAUGGACAGCUCCUCUGUCACCCAGCUCCAGCACAGCACCUGAAGGAAAUUACUGGGGUUUUCCUAUAGAAAGAAUGGUGGAGGAAAUAAAUAUUUUCUCAUUAUUUUCAAAUAUUUCCUUUGACAUUUUUCAAUUUUUCUUUCAAAACAAGACCCAGAAAAAAUACUGAUCAGAAGCAGUUUCUGAAAUUUUCUCCUAUGUGUUCUCUUUAACAAAUGUUGGUUUUAUCCUGAUUUUCCCUGAACAAUACAAACCAUAUUGCUACAGGAAAAAAAAAAAAAAAAAAAAA
Molecule: long non-coding RNA, 4305 nt
Organism: Taeniopygia guttata (zebra finch)
Lineage: Eukaryota; Metazoa; Chordata; Aves; Passeriformes; Estrildidae
Source: Ensembl